AUUGAACGCUGGCGGCAUGCCUUACACAUGUAAGUCGAACGGUAACAGGUCUUCGGAUGCUGACGAGUGGCGAACGGGUGAGUAAUACAUCGGAACGUGCCUAGUAGUGGGGGAUAACUACUCGAAAGAGUGGCUAAUACCGCAUGAGAUCUACGGAUGAAAGCAGGGGAUCGCAAGACCUUGUGCUACUAGAGCGGCCGAUGGGAGAUUAGGUAGUUGGUGGGAUAAAAGCUUACCAAGCCGACGAUCUGUAGCUGGUCUGAGAGGACGAUCAGCCACACUGGGACUGAGACACGGCCCAGACUCCUACGGGAGGCAGCAGUGGGGAAUUUUGGACAAUGGGCGCAAGCCUGAUCCAGCAAUGCCGCGUGCAGGAUGAAGGCCUUCGGGUUGUAAACUGCUUUUGUACGGAACGAAAAGCCCCGGGUUAAUACCCUGGGGUCAUGACGGUACCGUAAGAAUAAGCACCGGCUAACUACGUGCCAGCCGCCGCAGUAA
Molecule: ribosomal RNA, 498 nt
Filed under: uncultured bacterium
Lineage: Bacteria
Description: partial 16S ribosomal RNA
Rfam family: Bacterial small subunit ribosomal RNA
Source: RNAcentral